UCCGUAGGUGAACCUGCGGAGGGAUCAUUACAGAGCUGUUCUUUUACAGACUCCCAAACCCCAUGUGAACAUACCGAUGUUGCCUCGGCCGGAAACGUUCCGCCCCCUCCCGGGCGGCGGCCGGCCGCGGGAACCCCUAAACUCUUGUUUAAUCUUGACCAUUCUGAAAUUACAAAAACAAAUAAGUUAAAACUUUCAACAACGGAUCUCUUGGUUCCAGCAUCGAUGAAGAACGUCGCGAAAUACGAUAAGUAAUGUGAAUUGCAGAAUUCAGUGAAUCAUCGAGUCUUUGAACGCACAUUGCGCCCGCCGGCAUUCCGGCGGGCAUGCCUGUUCGAGCGUCAUUUCAACCAUUAAGCACCAGUCUGCUUAGCGUUGGGACCUUGCGGGGAACCGCAACUCCCCAAAACCAUCGGCGGGGCCGGGAUGGCUUCAGGCGUAGUAGAUCUCUUCUCGCCUCCACAGACAUCCCCGUGCCACGGCCGCGAACCGAGCUCGGGUGGCUUCACGCCGCCCGUCCUCACUUUUUUCUUGGUUGACCUCGGAUCAGGUAGGAAUACCCGCUGAACUUAAGCAUAUCAAUAAGCGGAGGA
This 593-nucleotide ribosomal RNA is filed under the name uncultured fungus. RNAcentral's name for it is "partial 18S ribosomal RNA". The stretch from base 191 to 344 matches the Rfam family "5.8S ribosomal RNA". Lineage: Eukaryota; Fungi. The record is from RNAcentral.